UACAGAGGGUGCGAGCGUUAAUCGGAAUUACUGGGCGUAAAGCGCGCGUAGGCGGCUUUUCAAGUCGAUUGUGAAAUCCCCGGGCUUAACCUGGGAACUGCAGUCGAGACUGUCUAGCUAGAGUAUGGGAGAGGGAAGUGGAAUUUCAGGUGUAGCGGUGGAAUGCGUAGAUAUCUGAAGGAACAUCAGUGGCGAAAGCGACUUCCUGGACCAAUACUGACGCUCAUGUGCGAAAGCGUGGGGAGCAAACAGG
Molecule: ribosomal RNA, 253 nt
Filed under: uncultured bacterium
Lineage: Bacteria
Description: partial 16S ribosomal RNA
Rfam family: Bacterial small subunit ribosomal RNA
Source: RNAcentral